GUCUCUGUGGUGCAGUCGGUUAGCGUGUUCGGCUGUUAACUGAAAGGUUGGUGGCUCGAGCCCACCCAGGGAUG
This 74-nucleotide transfer RNA is filed under the name Ornithorhynchus anatinus (platypus). RNAcentral describes it as "tRNA-Asn (GTT) (tRNA-Asn-GTT-9-1)". It matches the Rfam family "tRNA". Rfam says of the family: Transfer RNA (tRNA) molecules are approximately 80 nucleotides in length. The record is from RNAcentral. Lineage: Eukaryota; Metazoa; Chordata; Mammalia; Monotremata; Ornithorhynchidae.